Molecule: long non-coding RNA, 939 nt
Filed under: Homo sapiens (human)
Lineage: Eukaryota; Metazoa; Chordata; Mammalia; Primates; Hominidae
Description: HSALNT0398898
Source: RNAcentral
AUGUUGCCACUUGUCCUGAGCUGGAAAAAUGGCUAACAGCUGAACUGUUCUAACAGAAUGGGAAGACAGAUGGACAAAUGACCUCCUGGUGCUGAGAGAGGGAAGGAGGCAGCUGCCUGUGGAUCCACUGUGCUGGGGCUAGCCCCAGAGGAGGGGGCUCACACUGCUGGGAGGUCCUUUCCAGGCUGUGUGGCUGCAGGUAAGUGGCUACCUGCUCUGAGGCUCUGCCUGGUUUUCUCUCUCUAAACAGGGCUCCAGCCUCCCCUUCUCCCGAGGGACAUGGCAGGUCUCUCAGCAAGCUUGGCCUCAUGUUAUGUGUGGGCUCAGCCCCUCACACACAGGCAUUCCCUGAACCAACUAGUAGGCUGUGUGCAUACAGCAGAGAGUGCUCGGCCUUUGGCUCCUCCGGGUACACUCCUGCUGCUGCUGGACAGGCUACGUCUGAAGCUUGUCCUCCCCACUUCCUGUGUGAGAUCCUAACCCUUUGUGGUGGUGCUAGGAGGUGGGGCCUCUGGGAGGUGAUGAUGACAUGAGGCUGGAGCCCUCAGGCGUUGGAUUCCUGCCCUUAUAAAAGAGGACCCAGAAGGCUCCCUUGCCCCUUCCUCCAAAUGAAGACACAACAAGAGGGCCCGGUCUAUGAACUAGGAAGCAGCCCUCACCAGACACCAAACCUGCCGGCACCUUGACCUUGGACUUCCAGCCCCUAGAACUGUGUGGAAAUAAAUGCUGUUUCUUUCUUUCUUUCUUUUUUUGUUUUUUUGUUUGUUUGUUUUGUUUUGUUUUUGAGAUAAGAGUUUCGCUCUUGGUGCCCAGGCUGGAGUGCAGUGGCACAAUGUUGGCUCACUGCAACCUUCACCUUCCGGGUUCAAGCGAUUCUCCUGCCUCAGCCUCCUGCAUAGCUGGGAUUACAGGCAUGCGCUACCAUGUUCAGCUAAUUUU